CAGGAAAUAGUUUAUUGAGAAUAUCAGCUUUGGGUGCUGAUGGUGGGGUAAAGUAUCUCUUUCCUGA
RNAcentral lists this transfer RNA (67 nucleotides) under Microgale fotsifotsy (pale shrew tenrec). RNAcentral describes it as "tRNA-Pro". It matches the Rfam family "tRNA". Rfam says of the family: Transfer RNA (tRNA) molecules are approximately 80 nucleotides in length. Their secondary structure includes four short double-helical elements and three loops (D, anti-codon, and T loops). Lineage: Eukaryota; Metazoa; Chordata; Mammalia; Afrosoricida; Tenrecidae. The record is from RNAcentral.